This 423-nucleotide ribosomal RNA is filed under the name uncultured bacterium. Its description in RNAcentral is "partial 16S ribosomal RNA". It matches the Rfam family "Bacterial small subunit ribosomal RNA", at positions 360 to 774 of the family's 1533-position model. The record is from RNAcentral.
AAUCUUCUGCAAUUUACGAAAGUCUGACGCAGCGCUGCGGCGUGUGUGAUUAAGGUCUCCGGAUCGUAUAACUCUGUUGUCAGGGAAGAACAAGUAUCGGAGCAAUAUGCGGGUACCUUGACGGUACCUAACCAGCAAGCACCGGCUCACUACGUGCCAGUAGCCGCGGUAAUACGUAGGGGGCAAGUGUUGUCCGGAAUUAUUGGGCGUAAAGGGCACGAAGGAGGUUAUUUAAGUCUGAUGUGAAAUCUUGUGGCUUAACCACAAGCGGUCAUUGGAAACUGGAUAACUUGGGUACAGAAGAGGAAAGUGGAAUUCCACGUGUGGCGGUGAAAUGCGUAGAGAUGUGGAGGAACACCAGUGGCGAAGGCGGCUCUCUGGUCUGUAACUGACGCUGAGGAGCGAAAGCGUGGGUAGCGAACA